CCCUUAGACGUUCUGGGCCGCACGCGCGCUACACUGACCAGUGCAACAAGCAUCCGUCCUUGGCCGACAGGCCCGGGCAAUCUUUGAACGCUGGUCGUGAUGGGGAUAGACUUUUGCAAUUUUUGGUCUUCAACGAGGAAUUCCUAGUAAACGCAAGUCAUCAACUUGCAUUGAUUACGUCCCUGCCCUUUGUACACACCGCCCGUCGCACCUACCGAUUGAAUGGUCCGGUGAAGCCUCCGGAUUGGCGCGCACCUCGGUGCCGCCGAGAAGUUGGCUAAACCUCACCAUUUAGAGGAAGGUGAAGUCGUAACA
This 315-nucleotide ribosomal RNA is filed under the name uncultured eukaryote. RNAcentral's name for it is "partial 18S ribosomal RNA". It matches the Rfam family "Eukaryotic small subunit ribosomal RNA", at positions 1470 to 1796 of the family's 1831-position model. The record is from RNAcentral.